Molecule: ribosomal RNA, 445 nt
Filed under: uncultured bacterium
Lineage: Bacteria
Description: bacterial SSU rRNA
Rfam family: Bacterial small subunit ribosomal RNA
Source: RNAcentral
GUGAGGAAUAUUGGACAAUGGGCGAGAGCCUGAUCCAGCCAUGCCGCGUGCAGGAAGACGGCCCUAUGGGUUGUAAACUGCUUUUGUACGGGAAGAAACACCCCCUCGUGAGGGGGCUUGACGGUACCGUAAGAAUAAGGAUCGGCUAACUCCGUGCCAGCAGCCGCGGUAAUACGGAGGAUCCGAGCGUUAUCCGGAAUCAUUGGGUUUAAAGGGUCCGUAGGUGGACGGUUAAGUCAGAGGUGAAAUCCUGCAGCUCAACUGUAGAAUUGCCUUUGAUACUGGUCGUCUUGAGUCAUUGUGAAGUGGUUGGAAUAUGUAGUGUAGCGGUGAAAUGCAUAGAUAUUACAUAGAACACCGAUUGCGAAGGCAGAUCACUAACAAUGUACUGACACUGAUGGACGAAAGCGUGGGGAGCGAACAGGAUUAGAAACCCCGGUAGUCC